Molecule: ribosomal RNA, 371 nt
Filed under: uncultured organism
Description: bacterial SSU rRNA
Rfam family: Bacterial small subunit ribosomal RNA
Source: RNAcentral
CGUAGGGGGCAAGCGUUGUCCGGAUUUAUUGGGCGUAAAGAGCGUGUAGGCGGUCAGGUAGGUCGGUUGUGAAAACUGGAGGCUCAACCUUCAGAGGUCGACCGAAACCCCUGGCUAGAGUCCGGGAGAGGAGAGUGGAAUUCCUGGUGUAGCGGUGAAAUGCGCAGAUAUCAGGAAGAACACCCGUGGCGAAAGCGGCUCUCUGGAACGGUACUGACGCUGAGACGCGAAAGCGUGGGGAGCGAACAGGAUUAGAUACCCUGGUAGUCCACGCCGUAAACGAUGGGCGCUAGGUGUGGGAGGUGUCGACUCCUCCCGUGCCGAAGCUAACGCAUUAAGCGCCCCGCCUGGGGAGUACGGCCGCAAGGCUA